RNAcentral lists this ribosomal RNA (468 nucleotides) under uncultured bacterium. Its description in RNAcentral is "partial 16S ribosomal RNA". It matches the Rfam family "Bacterial small subunit ribosomal RNA", at positions 28 to 507 of the family's 1533-position model. The record is from RNAcentral.
GACGAACGCUGGCGGCGUGCUUAACACAUGCAAGUCGAACGGAAAGGCCCUGCUUUUGUGGGGUGCUCGAGUGGCGAACGGGUGAGUAACACGUGAGUAACCUGCCCUUGACUUUGGGAUAACUUCAGGAAACCGGGGCUAAUACCGGAUAGGAGCUCCUGCUGCAUGGUGGGGGUUGGAAAGAUUCGGCGGUUGGGGAUGGACUCGCGGCUUAUCAGCUUGUUGGUGGGGUAGUGGCUUACCAAGGCUUUGACGGGUAGCCGGCCUGAGAGGGUGACCGGCCACAUUGGGACUGAGAUACGGCCCAGACGCCUACGGGAGGCAGCAGUGGGGAAUAUUGCACAAUGGGCGGAAGCCUGAUGCAGCAACGCCGCGUGCGGGAUGACGGCCUUCGGGUUGUAAACCGCUUUCGCCUGUGACGAAGCGUGAGUGACGGUAAUGGGUAAAGAAGCACCGGCUAACUACGUG